CUCCAGAUCUAGAAUUACAUACAUUACAAGCUCACUGUACGGCUGCCAACUCGUCUCUCUCUGACGGAGCUUUAAGUAUCUACGAAAGUCGUAUCUUAUUACGAGCUAAUUUAUUUUAAACAUCGUAUUUACAGGAGCAAAGCCAAGAUUGUUUCAUGCCAUGGCUGCGAUGAACACUUCGGCUGAAACAGUUUCCCUCGGUGCAUGGCGUGGACCCAAACUUACGUAGAUCGGCUUUAUUGGUAUGCGAGAAAAACAAAUACGGGAUUGCAAGGGAUGGAGAAGAAAGAGGAGGAAAAAAAGCAUCGGAUGAGAGCCUGAAGUUCACAGCUUUGCAGGAGCGGCUCACACGUUUGAUUAGAGUUACGCAAUAUUGAUAGCGCUACCAAAACAGCGACUGUCUGCCACCAUCGGCUCCGCAUGCAAAUUCUGGGCUAAGAAAUGGGAGGUCCUGAUAAUUCAGUGCGGCUCUCGGCUCCUGUUCGAAUUCCUGCUUCAACACCACAAACUUCGGAUGGAGGAGAGAUAAAUACACAAAAAGAACCCAGCGAGAGAGGCACCCGCUACCUCCAACCCCAACUAUUUGUCCUCUCCUAAAGCUGUCAUCGAGCUUCUUGCUUAGGAAGUUCUGCUUGGAAGCAUCUCCCGGACACAUCAUGGAGAGGUUUUGCUCAAAGGGGGAACAGUGCAUGUUGAAGGAGCCGGGCUCCAGGCCGUACCCCGAGGAGUACAUGCCGGGGGGUUGGGGAUGCACGGCGCUGCCGCUGGAGUACAGCCCGGGCAUGGAGGAGGCGAAGGGAGGCGUGGAGCCGGCCCCAUAACCCGUUCGUUGGGUAUUGGAGGCGAAAGCGCAAGAAGUUUGCUCGGGAAAGACUCCGGAUGAGAAAACCGAACUUGCGGCUUGAUAUUUAGAAAAUAAAGCAUUCGCAUAAUACAAUGAACUCAUAAUUUGGCCGGGUGAUUUGUA
This is a long non-coding RNA of Lagopus leucura (white-tailed ptarmigan), 967 nucleotides long. RefSeq lists it as uncharacterized. Lineage: Eukaryota; Metazoa; Chordata; Aves; Galliformes; Phasianidae. The record is from RefSeq and is a predicted model, not a curated record. The transcript is spliced from 4 exons.